GCGACAGUGGCUCAGUUGGUAGAGUACGACCUUGCCAAGGUCGGGGUCGCGGGUUCGAGCCCCGUCUGUCGCUC
RNAcentral lists this transfer RNA (74 nucleotides) under [Clostridium] scindens. RNAcentral describes it as "tRNA-Gly". It matches the Rfam family "tRNA". Rfam says of the family: Transfer RNA (tRNA) molecules are approximately 80 nucleotides in length. Their secondary structure includes four short double-helical elements and three loops (D, anti-codon, and T loops). The record is from RNAcentral. RNAcentral also lists the same sequence under 4 other names. Lineage: Bacteria; Bacillati; Bacillota; Clostridia; Lachnospirales; Lachnospiraceae.